This 254-nucleotide ribosomal RNA is filed under the name uncultured bacterium. RNAcentral's name for it is "partial 16S ribosomal RNA". It matches the Rfam family "Bacterial small subunit ribosomal RNA", at positions 524 to 776 of the family's 1533-position model. The record is from RNAcentral.
UACGUAGGGCGCAAGCGUUAUCCGGAAUUAUUGGGCGUAAAGAGCUCGUAGGCGGUCUGUCGCGUCGGUCGUGAAAACUUGGGGCUUAACCCUGAGCUUGCGGUCGAUACGGGCAUGACUGGAGUUCGGCAGGGGAGACUGGAAUUCCUGGUGUAGCGGUGAAAUGCGCAGAUAUCAGGAGGAACACCAAUUGCGAAGGCAGCUGGCUACACAUAUAUUGACACUGAGGCACGAAAGCGUGGGGAUCAAACAGG